AUACAUUUAUUGAAGGAAUUGAUAUAUGCCAGUAAAAUGGUGUAUUUUUAAUUUCUUUCAAUAAAAACA
Molecule: non-coding RNA, 69 nt
Organism: Drosophila melanogaster (fruit fly)
Lineage: Eukaryota; Metazoa; Arthropoda; Insecta; Diptera; Drosophilidae
Source: Ensembl